RNAcentral lists this unclassified non-coding RNA (362 nucleotides) under soil metagenome. RNAcentral's name for it is "partial contains 5.8S ribosomal RNA, internal transcribed spacer 2, and large subunit ribosomal RNA". The stretch from base 1 to 120 matches the Rfam family "5.8S ribosomal RNA", at positions 35 to 154 of the family's 154-position model. The record is from RNAcentral.
GAUGAAGAACGCAGCGAAAUGCGAUAAGUAAUGUGAAUUGCAGAAUUCAGUGAAUCAUCGAAUCUUUGAACGCACCUUGCGCUCCUUGGUAUUCCGAGGAGCAUGCCUGUUUGAGUGUCAUUAAUAUAUCAACCUUCUCUUUUUUGAGUUGUUUGGAUGUGGGGGUUUGCUGGCCUCUUAAAUGAUUCAGCUCCCCUGAAAUGCAUUAGCAGAACAACCUGUUCAUUAGCGUGAUAAUUAUCUAUGCUAUUGAAUGUGAGGGCAGUUCAGCUUUCUAACCGUCCUUGGACAAUUCAUCAUUAAUGUGACCUCAAAUCAGGUAGGACUACCCGCUGAACUUAAGCAUAUCAAUAAGCGGGGGA